RNAcentral lists this ribosomal RNA (490 nucleotides) under uncultured bacterium. RNAcentral describes it as "partial 16S ribosomal RNA". It matches the Rfam family "Bacterial small subunit ribosomal RNA", at positions 30 to 507 of the family's 1533-position model. The record is from RNAcentral.
AUUGAACGCUGGCGGCAUGCCUUACACAUGCAAGUCGAACGGCAGCAUGAUCUAGCUUGCUAGAUUGAUGGCGAGUGGCGAACGGGUGAGUAAUACAUCGGAACGUGCCCUGUAGUGGGGGAUAACUAGUCGAAAGAUUAGCUAAUACCGCAUACGACCUGAGGGUGAAAGUGGGGGACCGCAAGGCCUCAUGCUAUAGGAGCGGCCGAUGUCUGAUUAGCUAGUUGGUGAGGUAAAGGCUCACCAAGGCGACGAUCAGUAGCUGGUCUGAGAGGACGAUCAGCCACACUGGGACUGAGACACGGCCCAGACUCCUACGGGAGGCAGCAGUGGGGAAUUUUGGACAAUGGGCGAAAGCCUGAUCCAGCAAUGCCACGUGUGUGAAGAAGGCCUUCGGGUUGUAAAGCACUUUUGUCCGGAAAGAAAUGGCUCUGGUUAAUACCUGGGGUCGAUGACGGUACCGGAAGAAUAAGGACCGGCUAACUACGUG